RNAcentral lists this ribosomal RNA (253 nucleotides) under uncultured bacterium. RNAcentral's name for it is "partial 16S ribosomal RNA". It matches the Rfam family "Bacterial small subunit ribosomal RNA", at positions 524 to 776 of the family's 1533-position model. The record is from RNAcentral.
UACAGAGGUCCCAAGCGUUGUUCGGAUUCACUGGGCGUAAAGGGUGCGUAGGUGGUUAGGUAAGUCCGAUGUGAAAUCUCCAGGCUUAACCUGGAAAUGGCAUUGGAUACUAUUUAGCUUGAGGAGUGGAGGGGGGACUGGAAUUCUCGGUGUAGCAGUGAAAUGCGUAGAUAUCGAGAGGAACCCCAGUGGCGAAGGCGAGUCCCUGGACACUUCCUGACACUGAGGCACGAAAGCUAGGGGAGCAAACAGG